RNAcentral lists this ribosomal RNA (2074 nucleotides) under Klebsiella pneumoniae. Its description in RNAcentral is "bacterial SSU rRNA". It matches the Rfam family "Bacterial small subunit ribosomal RNA". The record is from RNAcentral. Lineage: Bacteria; Pseudomonadati; Pseudomonadota; Gammaproteobacteria; Enterobacterales; Enterobacteriaceae.
AGAGUUUGAUCAUGGCUCAGAUUGAACGCUGGCGGCAGGCCUAACACAUGCAAGUCGAGCGGUAGCACAGAGAGCUUGCUCUCGGGUGACGAGCGGCGGACGGGUGAGUAAUGUCUGGGAAACUGCCUGAUGGAGGGGGAUAACUACUGGAAACGGUAGCUAAUACCGCAUAAUGUCGCAAGACCAAAGUGGGGGACCUUCGGGCCUCAUGCCAUCAGAUGUGCCCAGAUGGGAUUAGCUAGUAGGUGGGGUAACGGCUCACCUAGGCGACGAUCCCUAGCUGGUCUGAGAGGAUGACCAGCCACACUGGAACUGAGACACGGUCCAGACUCCUACGGGAGGCAGCAGUGGGGAAUAUUGCACAAUGGGCGCAAGCCUGAUGCAGCCAUGCCGCGUGUGUGAAGAAGGCCUUCGGGUUGUAAAGCACUUUCAGCGGGGAGGAAGGCGUUAAGGUUAAUAACCUUGGCGAUUGACGUUACCCGCAGAAGAAGCACCGGCUAACUCCGUGCCAGCAGCCGCGGUAAUACGGAGGGUGCAAGCGUUAAUCGGAAUUACUGGGCGUAAAGCGCACGCAGGCGGUCUGUCAAGUCGGAUGUGAAAUCCCCGGGCUCAACCUGGGAACUGCAUUCGAAACUGGCAGGCUAGAGUCUUGUAGAGGGGGGUAGAAUUCCAGGUGUAGCGGUGAAAUGCGUAGAGAUCUGGAGGAAUACCGGUGGCGAAGGCGGCCCCCUGGACAAAGACUGACGCUCAGGUGCGAAAGCGUGGGGAGCAAACAGGAUUAGAUACCCUGGUAGUCCACGCCGUAAACGAUGUCGAUUUGGAGGUUGUGCCCUUGAGGCGUGGCUUCCGGAGCUAACGCGUUAAAUCGACCGCCUGGGGAGUACGGCCGCAAGGUUAAAACUCAAAUGAAUUGACGGGGGCCCGCACAAGCGGUGGAGCAUGUGGUUUAAUUCGAUGCAACGCGAAGAACCUUACCUGGUCUUGACAUCCACAGAACUUAGCAGAGAUGCUUUGGUGCCUUCGGGAACUGUGAGACAGGUGCUGCAUGGCUGUCGUCAGCUCGUGUUGUGAAAUGUUGGGUUAAGUCCCGCAACGAGCGCAACCCUUAUCCUUUGUUGCCAGCGGUCCGGCCGGGAACUCAAAGGAGACUGCCAGUGAUAAACUGGAGGAAGGUGGGGAUGACGUCAAGUCAUCAUGGCCCUUACGACCAGGGCUACACACGNAGCGGUGAAAUGCGUAGAGAUCUGGAGGAAUACCGGUGGCGAAGGCGGCCCCCUGGACAAAGACUGACGCUCAGGUGCGAAAGCGUGGGGAGCAAACAGGAUUAGAUACCCUGGUAGUCCACGCCGUAAACGAUGUCGAUUUGGAGGUUGUGCCCUUGAGGCGUGGCUUCCGGAGCUAACGCGUUAAAUCGACCGCCUGGGGAGUACGGCCGCAAGGUUAAAACUCAAAUGAAUUGACGGGGGCCCGCACAAGCGGUGGAGCAUGUGGUUUAAUUCGAUGCAACGCGAAGAACCUUACCUGGUCUUGACAUCCACAGAACUUUGCAGAGAUGGUUUGGUGCCUUCGGGAACUGUGAGACAGGUGCUGCAUGGCUGUCGUCAGCUCGUGUUGUGAAAUGUUGGGUUAAGUCCCGCAACGAGCGCAACCCUUAUCCUUUGUUGCCAGCGGUUCGGCCGGGAACUCAAAGGAGACUGCCAGUGAUAAACUGGAGGAAGGUGGGGAUGACGUCAAGUCAUCAUGGCCCUUACGACCAGGGCUACACACGUGCUACAAUGGCAUAUACAAAGAGAAGCGACCUCGCGAGAGCAAGCGGACCUCAUAAAGUAUGUCGUAGUCCGGAUUGGAGUCUGCAACUCGACUCCAUGAAGUCGGAAUCGCUAGUAAUCGUAGAUCAGAAUGCUACGGUGAAUACGUUCCCGGGCCUUGUACACACCGCCCGUCACACCAUGGGAGUGGGUUGCAAAAGAAGUAGGUAGCUUAACCUUCGGGAGGGCGCUUACCACUUUGUGAUUCAUGACUGGGGUGAAGUCGUAACAAGGUAACCGUAGGGGAACCUGCGGUUGGAUCACCU